AGUCGAGGGGCAGCAUGGUCUUAGCUUGCUAAGGCUGAUGGCGACCGGCGCACGGGUGAGUAACACGUAUCCAACCUGCCGUCUACUCUUGGCCAGCCUUCUGAAAGGAAGAUUAAUCCAGGAUGGCAUCAUGAGUUCACAUGUCCGCAUGAUUAAAGGUAUUUUCCGGUAGACGAUGGGGAUGCGUUCCAUUAGAUAGUAGGCGGGGUAACGGCCCACCUAGUCAACGAUGGAUAGGGGUUCUGAGAGGAAGGUCCCCCACAUUGGAACUGAGACACGGUCCAAACUCCUACGGGAGGCAGCAGUGAGGAAUAUUGGUCAAUGGGCGAUGGCCUGAACCAGCCAAGUAGCGUGAAGGAUGACUGCCCUAUGGGUUGUAAACUUCUUUUAUAAAGGAAUAAAGUCGGGUAUGCAUACCCGUUUACAUGUACUUUAUGAAUAAGGAUCGGCUAACUCCGUGCCAGCAGCCGCGGUAAUACGGAGGAUCCGAGCGUUAUCCGGAUUUAUUGGGUUUAAAGGGAGCGUAGAUGGAUGUUUAAGUCAGUUGUGAAAGUUUGCGGCUCAACCGUAAAAUUGCAGUUGAUACUGGAUGUCUUGAGUGCAGUUGAGGCAGGCGGAAUUCGUGGUGUAGCGGUGAAAUGCUUAGAUAUCACGAAGAACUCCGAUUGCGAAGGCAGCCUGC
This 682-nucleotide ribosomal RNA is filed under the name uncultured Bacteroidales bacterium. Its description in RNAcentral is "bacterial SSU rRNA". It matches the Rfam family "Bacterial small subunit ribosomal RNA", at positions 60 to 729 of the family's 1533-position model. Lineage: Bacteria; Pseudomonadati; Bacteroidota; Bacteroidia; Bacteroidales. The record is from RNAcentral.